Molecule: ribosomal RNA, 511 nt
Filed under: uncultured archaeon
Lineage: Archaea
Description: bacterial SSU rRNA
Rfam family: Archaeal small subunit ribosomal RNA
Source: RNAcentral
ACCUCUGCAAUAGGCGAAAGCUUGACAGGGUUACUCUGAGUGAUGCCCGUUAAGGGUAUCUUUUGGCACCUCUAAAAAUGGUGCAGAAUAAGGGGUGGGCAAGUCUGGUGUCAGCCGCCGCGGUAAUACCAGCACCCCGAGUGGUCGGGACGAUUAUUGGGCCUAAAGCAUCCGUAGCCGGUUCUGCAAGUCUUCCGUUAAAUCCACCUGCUCAACAGAUGGGCUGCGGAGGAUACUACAGGGCUAGGAGGCGGGAGAGGCAAGCGGUACUCAGUGGGUAGGGGUAAAAUCCUCUGAUCCACUGAAGACCACCAGUGGCGAAGGCGGCUUGCCAGAACGCGCUCGACGGUGAGGGAUGAAAGCUGGGGGAGCAAACCGGAUUAGAUACCCGGGUAGUCCCAGCUGUAAACGAUGCAGACUCGGUGAUGGGUUGGCUUUGUGCCAACCCAGUGCCGCAGGGAAGCCGUUAAGUCUGCCGCCUGGGGAGUACGGUCGCAAGACUGAAACUUAA